GACGAACGCUGGCGGCGUGCUUAACACAUGCAAGUCGAACGGAAAGGCCUUUUCGGAGGUACUCGAGUGGCGAACGGGUGAGUAACACGUGGGUGAUCUGCCCUGCACUCUGGGAUAAGCCUGGGAAACUGGGUCUAAUACCGGAUAGGACCGCACUUUAGUGUGUGUGGUGGAAAGUUUUUUCGGUGUAGGAUGAGCCCGCGGCCUAUCAGCUUGUUGGUGGGGUAAUGGCCUACCAAGGCGGCGACGGGUAGCCGGACUGGGAGGUUGGUCGGCCACAUUGGGACUGGGAUACGGCCCAGACUCCUACGGGAGGCAGCAGUGGGGAAGAUUGCACAAUGGGCGCAAGCCUGAUGCAGCGACGCCGCGGGGGGGAUGACGGCCUUCGGGUUGUAAACUCCUUUCGCCAGGGACGAAGCGUUUUGUGACGGUACCUGGAGAAGAAGCACCGGCUAACUACGUG
RNAcentral lists this ribosomal RNA (463 nucleotides) under uncultured bacterium. RNAcentral describes it as "partial 16S ribosomal RNA". It matches the Rfam family "Bacterial small subunit ribosomal RNA", at positions 28 to 507 of the family's 1533-position model. The record is from RNAcentral.